GAUAACUAGGGGCCAGUGGCGGGGGGAAGAUGCGGGGUGCGAGUGUGAAACGGAAUGUCAGGGCGGAAAGCGGGCGCAGGCGGGUAGGUAAGACCGCGGUGAAACCCCCGGGCGCAACCGGGGAACUGCCUUUGUGACGGCAUGGCUAGAGUGCGGCAGAGGGGGAGGGAAUUCCGCGUGUAGCAGUGAAAUGCGUAGAUAUGCGGAGGAACACCGAUGGCGAAGGCAAUCCCCUGGGCCUGCACUGACGCUCAUGCACGAAAGCGUGGGGAGCAAACAGGAUUAGAUACCCCAGUAGUC
Molecule: ribosomal RNA, 300 nt
Filed under: uncultured Aquifex sp.
Lineage: Bacteria; Pseudomonadati; Aquificota; Aquificia; Aquificales; Aquificaceae
Description: partial 16S ribosomal RNA
Rfam family: Bacterial small subunit ribosomal RNA
Source: RNAcentral